This 500-nucleotide ribosomal RNA is filed under the name uncultured Glomeromycotina. RNAcentral's name for it is "partial small subunit ribosomal RNA". It matches the Rfam family "Eukaryotic small subunit ribosomal RNA", at positions 591 to 1092 of the family's 1831-position model. Lineage: Eukaryota; Fungi; Glomeromycota. The record is from RNAcentral.
CCAAUAGCGUAUAUUAAAGUUGUUGCAGUUAAAAAGCUCGUAGUUGAAUUUCGGGAUCAAUUGAUUGGUCAUGCCUACGGUAUGUACUAGUCAUAUUGGUUCUCACCUUCUAAUGAACCUUAAUGUCAUUCACUUGAUGCUUUGGGGAAUUAGGACUGUUACCUUGAAAAAAUUAGAGUGUUUAAAGCAGGCUUACGCUUGAAUACAUUAGCAUGGAAUAAUGAAAUAGGACAUCGCAUUCUAUUUUGUUGGUUUCUAGGAUCGAUGUAAUGAUUAAUAGGGAUAGUUGGGGGCAUUAGUAUUCAAUUGUCAGAGGUGAAAUUCUUGGAUUUAUUGAAGACUAACUACUGCGAAAGCAUUUGCCAAGGAUGUUUUCAUUAAUCAAGAACGAAAGUUAGGGGAUCGAAGACGAUCAGAUACCGUCGUAGUCUUAACCAUAAACUAUGCCGACUAGGGAUCGGAUGAUGUUGAUUUUUUAAUGACUCAUUCGGCGCCUUACG